Molecule: ribosomal RNA, 438 nt
Filed under: uncultured bacterium
Lineage: Bacteria
Description: bacterial SSU rRNA
Rfam family: Bacterial small subunit ribosomal RNA
Source: RNAcentral
UGGAGGCAGCAGUGGGGAAUCUUCCGCAAUGGGCGAAAGCCUGACGGAGCGACGCCGCGUGAGUGAAGAAGGUCUUCGGAUCGUAAAGCUCUGUUACCAGGGACGAGAAAAGACGGUACCUGGGGAGGAAGCCACGGCUAACUACGUGCCAGCAGCCGCGGUAAUACGUAGGUGGCGAGCGUUGUCCGGAAUUAUUGGGCGUAAAGGGCGCGUAGGCGGCUUUUUAAGUCAGGUGUGAAAUACCCCGGCUCAACUGGGGAGUGCCAUCUGAUACUGGAGAGCUAGAGUGCAGGAGAGGAAAGUGGAAUUCCAUGUGUAGCGGUGAAAUGCGUAGAUAUAUGGAGGAACACCAGUGGCGAAGGCGGCUUUCUGGACUGUAACUGACGCUGAGGCGCGAAAGCUGGGGGAGCGAACGGGAUUAGAAACCCUAGUAGUCCA